AUUGAACGCUGGCGGCAGGCCUAACACAUGCAAGUCGAGCGGAUGAAGGAAGCUUGCUUCCCGAUUCAGCGGCGGACGGGUGAGUAAUGCCUAGGAAUCUGCCUAUUAGUGGGGGAUAACUCGGGGAAACUCGGGCUAAUACCGCAUACGUCCUACGGGAGAAAGUGGGGGAUCUUCGGACCUCACGCUAAUAGAUGAGCCUAGGUCGGAUUAGCUAGUUGGUGAGGUAACGGCUCACCAAGGCGACGAUCCGUAGCUGGUCUGAGAGGAUGAUCAGCCACACUGGAACUGAGACACGGUCCAGACUCCUACGGGAGGCAGCAGUGGGGAAUUUUGGACAAUGGGGGCAACCCUGAUCCAGCCAUGCCGCGUGAGUGAAGAAGGCCUUCGGGUUGUAAAGCUCUUUCGGCCGGGAAGAAAUCGCACGGGUUAAUACCCCGUGUGGAUGACGGUACCGGAAUAAGAAGCACCGGCUAACUACGUGCCAGCCGCCGCGGUAA
RNAcentral lists this ribosomal RNA (500 nucleotides) under uncultured bacterium. Its description in RNAcentral is "partial 16S ribosomal RNA". It matches the Rfam family "Bacterial small subunit ribosomal RNA", at positions 30 to 523 of the family's 1533-position model. The record is from RNAcentral.